UUGAAUCCUCAGGAUGUCGCUGGCUUCUCGCAAGGGAAGCAUGUGCACUCCGCCUUCAAUCCACCUGUGCACUAUUUGUAGGUCAAAGGGGGAAACCCCUCUGCCUAUGCUUUUUACACACACUUUAAAGUAUCAGAAUGUAACACAGUAGACCUUCAAGUCGAACCUAAAUA
This 173-nucleotide unclassified non-coding RNA is filed under the name uncultured Clavulinopsis. RNAcentral's name for it is "sequence contains ITS1". Lineage: Eukaryota; Fungi; Basidiomycota; Agaricomycetes; Agaricales; Clavariaceae. The record is from RNAcentral.